Molecule: ribosomal RNA, 254 nt
Filed under: uncultured bacterium
Lineage: Bacteria
Description: partial 16S ribosomal RNA
Rfam family: Bacterial small subunit ribosomal RNA
Source: RNAcentral
UACGAAGGGGGCUAGCGUUGCUCGGAAUUACUGGGCGUAAAGCGUGCGCAGGCGGUUUUGUAAGUCAGAUGUGAAAUCCCCGGGCUUAACCUGGGAACUGCGUUUGAAACUACAAGGCUAGAGUGUGGCAGAGGGGGGGUGGAAUUCCACGUGUAGCAGUGAAAUGCGUAGAGAUGUGGAGGAACACCGAUGGCGAAGGCAGCCCCCUGGGUUAACACUGACGCUCAGGCACGAAAGCGUGGGGAGCAAACAGG